RNAcentral lists this ribosomal RNA (584 nucleotides) under uncultured bacterium. RNAcentral's name for it is "partial 16S ribosomal RNA". It matches the Rfam family "Bacterial small subunit ribosomal RNA", at positions 355 to 1375 of the family's 1533-position model. The record is from RNAcentral.
UGGGGAAUUUUGGACAAUGGGCGAAAGCCUGAUCCAGCAAUGCCGCGUGUGUGAAGAGGCCUUCGGGUUGUAAAGCACUUUUGUCCGGAAAGAAAUCCUUGGCUCUAAUACAGUCGGGGGAUGACGGUACCGGAAGAAUAAGCACCGGCUAACUACGUGCCAGCAGCCGCGGUAAUACGUAGGGUGCAAGCGUUAAUCGGAAUUACUGGGCGUAAAGCGUGCGCAGGCGGUUUGCUAAGACCGAUGUGAAAUCCCCGGGCUCAACCUGGGAACUGCAUUGGUGACUGGCAGGCUAGAGUAUGGCAGAGGGGGGUAGAAUUCCACGUGUAGCAGUGAAAUGCGUAGAGAUGUGGAGGAAUACCGAUGGCGAAGGCAGCCCCCUGGGCCAAUACUGACGCUCAUGCACGAAAGCGUGGGGAGCAAACAGGAUUAGAUACCCUGGUAGUCCACGCCCUAAACGAUGUCAACUAGUUGUUGGGGAUUCAUUUCCUUAGUAACGUAGCUAACGCGUGAAGUUGACCGCCUGGGGAGUACGGUCGCAAGAUUAAAACUUAAAUGAAUUGACGGGGUCAUAGCUGUUUCCU